This is a non-coding RNA of Cicer arietinum (chickpea), 1347 nucleotides long. The record is from RefSeq and is a predicted model, not a curated record. NCBI's taxonomy places the organism in Eukaryota, Viridiplantae, Streptophyta, Magnoliopsida, Fabales, Fabaceae.
ACAACAAUUUAAAACUAUAUUACAACCUAAAUAUUUUCAUCAUAUUCAAAGUUCAAGCAACUAAUCCUAUUCCUACACAUUGCUGAAAAUGAAAAAGAAUAUCAAAAGCAAUAAAAAAUUUGUAGCUCAGUGAAAACAAAGUAGCAUCAUCAACAAUCAGAAACUUUUCCAAUUCUAACCUGUAAGGAGAAUCGCAGCCGAAUGAAGCGAGAAUCACGAUUUCAGCAGAAGAAGCAGCGGUUUAGGGUUUUUAAUUUGCUAAAAGAAAGAUUUGAUUUAGGAAUUUUUUGGGUUAGGGUUCUUCGUUUUAGGUUUCUAUCAAACAAAUAAUCCGGGUAUAAAAUCCGGGUUUUUUCAUUACCCGGUUCGGGUUAUAAACCAUAUAAUGGAUUUGAGUUGGGCUUUUUUUGGUCCAUUUCGUAAAAUUUGGUAUUGUUAACCAAAAAGGAACCAUUUUUAUUUUCUUGUAAUUAGUUUUUGUUGAAAUGUAGAAACUUUUCAAAUUGAGAAUGAGUGCAAGUAGUUUGGUAGCAGAUAAAGUUUGGAAGCAAAUUGAAUCUACACACACAGUGAAUGAUGAUCAACUUUAUAUUUUACAUUUCUUAUUUGGUAAGAACUUUGAAGGAGCUACUAGAAUUGUGGAUCAAAGAGGUGUUAAGAGGAUUUCUGGUAACCCCAGUGGAAGGUUUAUCUUUCAGAAUCUAGCACCGACACUUUAGAUUAAAGGCGUGUCCAACACAUUGGUGUCCGACAUUGAAUGCAGUUACAGGGGAAUCCAGGAAAAAAGACCAGUAUCUAUGUUUUGCUGAAAACUUUUGCGCUUGUUAUUCUUUCUUCUAUGAUGUUGUCAACAGAGGGGAACAACUUUGUUGUAAACAUCAAUUAGCAGCAAGACUUGCUGCAUCGUUGGGAUCGUAUGUCGAAGUUAAGGUGUCUGAUGAGGAGCUAGCUUUGUUGCUGUCCAAAAUAUAGCUAUUGCAUUUGUGAAACACAAAUUAUUUUUGAUAUAGAAUUUAAUGGGGCAAUGAAAAUCUCGUUGGACAUGGUAACUGUGAUGAUCUCGAGAGCUCAAGAGCUUGUAUGGUAUGACUUUUUCUUCGAAAAGAACACUUUAUUAUCGCAAAAAAGCGUGAUUAGAUUGGCUCUUGAAAAGAAACGAAAAGCUGAAGUACCAAAAGCCAUUAGAUAUACUUUUCCUGUUAAUUGUUGAUGUGAAAACUUGUAUAGUGACUUCUGUUAAGUCCAUGAUUUGUAAUGCUUUAUGCCUGUAUAGAAUUUUAAUUUCUCAACCAUUAAUGGUUAUAUACUUCCUACAUUAUAUUUAUAAUUAACUUUAACAUUUGCACG